AUUGAAUCGACGUCGAUUCGUUGUCGAAUAUCGAUGUCAAAUUCGUCGAAUCAUUUCUCACUAGAAUGCGUGUUGAUUAGAGUAGUUUAAAUAAAAAACAAAAUUAAAUUGUUUGUAUCAAUUUAUCGGCAACUAUUUAACAUACAGAUAUUAAUAAUUUAAUUUGUAUAUUGUGUACGUUUUUUUGGUAUUCUACAUCCAAGAUGAACAACCGGAAGAGGAAAUAAAAACUCAAGAGACCAUAAAGAUUGUGAUCGACCGCGCCACGCAAACGUGAAUACAUUGUGCUUCUGAUAUGCAUGAGUAAACAGGAGUUUAUUAGUAUAUCAUGAUCGAAGCGAUAAAUACAGAUGAAAUAAGAUCAUCAGGUAUACGAAAGAUUGAUUGAAAUCUUUUACUGGAGACACACAAUGAAAUCUAUCUUAAUAAUUCCUGUCCACUGUGUCCGCAAUUGAUGACAUUCUGCUAGCAUAAGUAGUAAGCAAAUCUGACAUCAAAUUAGCGGUAAAAACCGAGCAGAUCUGCACAAUAUAGUUAAUGGAAAAUUGGCGGCAGAAACCGAGCUGAUCGGUCAAAUAAUACAAUCUGAUAGCAGAUAUUGGCGGCAGAAAUCGAGCAGGACCUGUAAUUCCUUGUCACGAAUAAUAUAUCUUUGAACAUGUGAUGCAGUAACUCUGGCGAGUUUCUCGAGCAGAGUCAAGAUGAACAACCGGAAGAGGAAAUAAAAACUCAAGAGACCAUAAAGAUUGCGAUCAACCGUGCCACGCAAACGCGGAUACAUUGUGCUCCUGAUAUGAGUAAACAGGAGUUUAUUAAUAUCAUGAUCGAAGCGAUAAAUGUAGAUGAAAGAUUAGCAUCAGGUAUACGAAAGAUUGAUUGAAAUCUUUCAUUGAAGACACACAAUGAAAUCUAUCUUAAUAACGAGUUUUUCUGAAAAUAUCCUCAUUUUCCUAUUUAUGAAAAUUUUAGUAAAUUUUAUUUUUACGAAUACACAUUCGACGAUGUUAUAUUGGAAAAUGAAAUAUUUAUAAUUUCCCAAUAAUUGCAAAAGUUUGUCAGAAAUAAAAUAAAAUGACUUUUAGUAUUUGAAGAUAUCAUAUUUUAUCAAUUGAUAAGCGCGAUCUGCAUGCGUAAGUAUUAAUUAAUUAUCAAACUCGUGUGCAUAAACAAUCUAGUUUUAUUUAUAAUUCUACCUGUAGUUUUGCACUUGCAAUUUUAAUGCAAGAUCGAAUAAGCAUCGUAUA
Molecule: long non-coding RNA, 1244 nt
Organism: Nylanderia fulva
Lineage: Eukaryota; Metazoa; Arthropoda; Insecta; Hymenoptera; Formicidae
Source: RefSeq, a predicted model, not a curated record